This is a long non-coding RNA of Brassica napus (rape), 4112 nucleotides long. RefSeq lists it as uncharacterized. The record is from RefSeq and is a predicted model, not a curated record. The transcript is spliced from 5 exons. NCBI's taxonomy places the organism in Eukaryota, Viridiplantae, Streptophyta, Magnoliopsida, Brassicales, Brassicaceae.
UCUCUAAGCAAUAAAAUAUAUGCCAUGCAUUUACUUUAUCGAAAAGUUGUAACAGCUAGCCUCUGACUUCAUUUUUGAAUUACCAACCCCCGCCCCUCCUCCCCUCUCCCUCUCUUCGAACCCUCCUAAGAAGGAUUUGUGUAUUUUAUUAAUAAACACUGAACGCUCUUCUUAAUUCGUUUUUUUUUUUUCUGAAACUGACACUGCAAAGCGAGAGAACUUAAUUCAUAAGAAACAGAAACGAAAGCGAGAAAUGAAUCUCUCUCACUACAUCAAAGUCAGUAUUGAUCACUCCUUGGGUCUUCAGAUCUCAAUGGAGUCUCUCCAGAAGAAGCUUCGUACUGCUGAAGAAUCACAGCUGCGUCUCAAAGAUCAAUAUCUGGCUCUUCUCUCUAUAUUAAAAGAGAAAGAUGUAAUCGACCAAGCUAGGUCGGAAGCGAGUUUGAAUGCCCAUGCGUUGAAGAAGUUCAUCGACGAGAACCAGAAACUGGCCGCGGAAUGUGGAAAUCUAUUGAGCCAGUGUAAGAAAUGGGAAAGAGAGUGCUUGCUUUAUCAUCAAGAUCGUGAUGCGUUGAUGGAAUUGGGGAAUGAAUCUGAUGAGAGAGCCAGAGACGCAGAAGCUAGGGUUCGUGAUUUGGUAGACGAAAUUGGAAGAAUGUCUGAGGAAUUGCAGAUUCGUAAGCGAGAAAUUGGGAUUGACCAAGUUGACAACUGCACACCAUUAUUAGAAGAAGAUUUGCUUGAUUCAGUUUUGGGAUUACUCGUAAGCAAAGAUGAAAAUACAGUGGGGCAUGUGGGGCGUCUCUGUUAAGCUAGAUACGCCCCCUCGAGAUGAUGGCUCUUCGAGCGUCAAUCUCAUAAUGUUCAGGCAAGGAUCGAUGGGCCAACUUUGGACUGGAUCGAUGUGGAUUGGGUUGGACUGCGUGGAUCAGGCUCUUAUACCAUGUUAAGCUACAUGGGCUUCCAACCUAAAACCAAUUGGUGAUAAAUGGAUUGGCUCAUAUAUUUUAUAUAUUGCUUAAGAUCUCUUCUAACUACUGUGGGACACUUUGUGUCUAAUAGGCUCUUUUUGGAGGCAAACACUCAAGACUUAUCUUGCCAAGCCUUGUUGAGCAGGUGCGAUCGAUUAAAGCCUUCGAUGCAAAAGGUUCUGUCUUUGGUGUCAAAGGCAAAGAAAUUUGGAACCGAAAAGGAAUGCAUUAUCCAGAAUCUCGCUAAAGCCAAGCAAGAGACAGAACUUGUGAGAUUGCAAAACCGAAAUAUGGAUAAAGAAAAUCGUAAGUUGUUAAGGCAACAAAGCCCUCCUGGUUCUGCUGAGACAAGUCACAAAAGCGCAUCUGCAAAGUCAUACAAGAGAUAGUCUGAAGAUGAUGAGCAGUCCGAUUGAGAAGAAGCUUGAGUUUAGCAGCAGUCCAGAAAUCAGUAGGAAUCCUCUAUCACUUGUGUGGAAUUACUCACCAGAUUCUAGGAUCAACAAGAAGUAAUGGCAAUUAAUCAAACAUGUCUCUGUAUUAUCAAUAUGUGUCUUGAAGUAGUAGGAAAGGAAAAAAAUAACAGGUUUGGAUUACAUUGUCGCCUCUCUGAAGCUACUUACCAACAUGUAUUGCUAUCAAAAGUUGACUAGAAAAUCAUGUUACUAACUAAUAGAAAACUUCUAUAAGAAAAAUGUGAAGCCUCCAAAGCUUAGACUACUAGCUAGGGGUUAGGGAUUUAGUUUCCCUUUUUCCAGAUUUACAUGGAACCAUGUGUUAUUAUUGUUAAUGCGAUUUGGGUAUGAAUAUAAGCAGGGCCGUGUCAAGGUAUAUAUUGGCCUUUGGGCAUUUUUUUUACAUAUACUUAUGGGCAACUUAAAAUUUUGGGCCCUUAUCCUUAAUUAUUUUUUAAUAAAAUUGGAUCUCUCUUUAACAUUGUUUUUGUUAAAAAAUACUUGGGCUCCAGCCCCACGCCCCCUUGCCCUAUGCUUUAAGCCGGCCAUGAAUAUGAGUAAGUGAAAAGAGACAAAAUGAUAUGUUCAGAAAAACAAGCUGAAGUGUUUAAAGAAAAAAUGGAAGUUCCACGUUACAACUGAGAAAAUAACAACAACUUUAAAGGAAUUAUCUGAAACUCUUAAACCUAAGAAAAUGUUUUAGAAAUAAAAUAGUAUAAUCUUUUGGCUGUGAGAAGGGGAUAUAUCGAUUUUUUUCAUGCUUUUACAAAGCAAAAUCGUACUAAAAAUUGGAUUACAGCGAAUCAGAUAAUAUGGUGGAGAAUGAAAAGGGAUUAUGAUAGCCAUUGUUACUAAUUAUUUCAGGUGCUUUUUUGAAUCGCUCAAUGCAAAGGAGAUUGAUGAUGCUUGGCGGAUGUAACUAUAAGUAUCACAAAUUGAUUAUCCGAGAUCUUACAACACUUGUUACUGUAUAGGAAGUCAAACUUGCUUUAUUUGAGAUGCAUCCAAAAAAAAAAGCACAAUGAUCAGAUGGAAUGGAAGCUCUUUUUUCUUCAGAAGUUGUGGGAUAGAGUAAAAGGCGACUUAACCCGUAUGGCUAAUGAUUUCCUUUUUGAUGGCAUUAUAUGGAAGUAUCUAUGGAAUUUUAUAGUCAUUCAUUGAAUGCUACAUGAAGAACAUAAGUCAAAUGACGGAACGGGAAGACCUAGGAUGUAUAAGAUCAUAACAUAAGCUAAACCACAGAUUUUGAUAUUUAUAUAUUCACUUGUGUCAUACUUCUACGAUAUAUAUAUAAGAUCCAUUUGUAUAAAUAUCAUCAUCUACAUCCAGAAAGCCAUAUGCUUCGGAAGAAUCUCGUACACUAUGAGAAUUUGAUUGAUAAAAAAUCUACUUAAGCCGACAUACCCUUAAGCACGGCCAUGCAUAAUGGUAGACAAUUAGCUAGAGCAGUAGCGAAACUGAUUGUAAAAGAGACAAAAUCAGCCACAUUAAAUUACUUUCUUUAGAGGUCCAUUUGAUAUCCAAAAAUUGAACAGUAAGACAUGUUAUGUAUGUAUAUGGUUAUACUUGCAAUUAUUGUUAAUUGCAAGUAUAAUAAAUUUUUUUGCAUUAACUUAGUAUAAAAAGUUAGCCACUUUCGUAUAAAUAUGUAUAUUUUUUUCAAAAUUAAAUGUAAGUGUAUUUUAACAAACAGAAGACUAAAAUAAUUCUAAUUAAAAUUCAAAAUUUUAUAGAGAUUUACAUAUUCAAAAAUAUACCUAGAUCCAUAAAUAAACAUAAAUAGGCAAUUAUUCAACUUUUUAAUUGUUGGGUUUAUUUGAAAUUAAACGUGAUACAAUACUUUAAAAUUUAUUGUUAAGAACAUCAUAUGUCAAAUAAAUAAAAAAAACUAAAUCAUAAAUAUUUUAUAAACUUUUAUUUUGUUUAUAAUUGGUAAAUAAAAAUUUUAAAUAUCAAUAAAUUCAUUUUUCAUUUUAUAAAAAAAAAAUAUUUUAUAAAAAGUUAUUUUGACCACUGGGCAAGAAAAACUAGUACACAUGUUAAACUGGCCAGUUUAUUUUAUUUAGACCAUGGUGUAUUAUUAUUGUUAUUUAAAAAAAACAUUUUUUAAAAUUCGGCAAUUGAUUAGAGUCAUCACCUCUGGUGCCCCCAACCGCACAAAGCAGAAUCUCCUAUGGGCUCCACAAUCGCCUAUGCCCCUUUUUCAUUAAGUGGGCGUGAAAUGAUGGGAAUGCCCUUGGAAGAUGGAAAAAAAUAAAAAAAAAGUAAAAGAAAAUUCGAAUUUGGGGGGAUUUCGGUAUGGGUUUCGGUCUGGGUUUGGUGUGAGUUUCGGUCGACGGGUUUGUCAUUAAUUCAAUUCAAUUGAAACCGAAUCAAUUCAAUUAGAGUUCUGGAACAAGAAAAUUUAAAUUUAAAAGAAAAUAAAAUCCCGCAGCUCGAGGAGGAAAGCUCCUUUACAGCUCCCACCCGAGAAGCUCGUUAUUGUCUCUGGUUCGCAGCUCCCUCACAACAACUCUGUUGUCGACGUUGAUAGCUACUCCGGUGACGCCGUCGGACCGCAAUGUUUCCACCGGCUAGCAUUCUUUCGGAUAGGUCGUAAUGCAGGUUAGUUAUUCUCUCCUUAGCAAGCUGCAAGAUAGAAAUUUGAUUUAGGGUUUGUAAUUGAAAGUGUUGAAACAGCAUUGAU